CCGAGCUCCUUGAGGGCCCUAAGGGGCUUCCAGUCUUCCAAAGCAGCUGGGCUUCCUACCUCCGGAAGGGCUGCCGGAUUCACAUCCACCGCAAGACGGCAUCACGAAAGAUCCUGGCCUCAUCCAGUAAAGGAAAGUCGGGGACCUGCCACUUCCUCAUCUCCAGCCAUUGCAAGGGCCUCUUCCGCCGACGCCCACGCAAAUUCUCCUCCACUUCAGAAUUGGCCCUCAGCUUGGCCACAGGCAAGACACUGCAGGUGGUGGUCACCAGGGACUAUGAGAACGGGGAUGGAGAGUUUCCUCUGUUCAGUGUGGGGGACCGGCUAGAGGUGCUGAGCCUGGAGAGAGCCGGCGAUCUUUCGGCCAGGGACGUGCUCGUGUGCUGGAGAGACAACGGAGACGAAGACAAGGAGCAGAUCUGUGUGCCGCUCUUCUUGGAUGCUGGCUUUGUGGAGGACGUCCGUGACAGUAGAAGAUACAGCCUGGAUGAGGCAAUAGAAGAUUUCCAACUGCCUUGUGAGGUCAAAGUGAUGGCCAGUGACUGUGUACCUAACCUUCUCAGCAGCUGCUCAGUGCUGACCUUGGAGGCCCAGGUCCAUGCACCGUUUCUGACGGCGAGCCUGGCUGAGGAGCCUCAUCUCGCCUUUGAGAUCCCUCCCCGCUGGAUGGACAUGUCUGUCUUCCUCACCAUGAACCCAAUGAAGCCAGCACCUUGUAGCAGCAUCCCGAGUGUAGAAGAGCUGACGGAGGCCUUUUAUUAUAAUUUGCUAAAGGAGCUGCCCAGCAAUACCCCAGCACCACCAAGACCUCCAAAGCGAGGGGAGUCCAGACUCAACAAGUGUCCCCAGAAAACCCCGGAAGGAAAGAGUUCAGCAGAAGUCUUUAAGCCGCUGCUUUCUGGCAAUUCAAGGCAGGUGUCUCAAAAUCCUGCAGAUCAACUGAGCCCUGGACCCGAGAAAAUAAGCAAAGGCUGGGGUAUCAGGAGGAAUCCAAACCAGUACAGCAUAAAUUAUGAGCUUCAGUGGAGACAGCAGCCCACCAAACAAGUCACAGAUACAUCUUCCAGUAAUGAUCCUGACCAUGACUAUGAAGAAGUUGACAAGAUAGAAAAAAUUGCUUGCAAAAUGCAAAGAGCUGCUAUUAAACACUGAGACUUUUGUCUACCAAGCUACAGGCCUGGUUUUGCCCUUCUUCCUAUCUCCCUACUGUCAGAAAAGGAGUUGCAGAUUCACUUUUUCUUCAUUAUUUUGACAAGAAGCAGUGGCCUUGCUUUCGAGACAAUGGCUGAGAGAAACUGUGGUUUGCCAAAGCUCGCAUAUUUGAACCAUUUCCCCUUUCUCCAGAAUGUGCAACUUCCUUUAGAAUCUAGCUGCUCUGCUGCAGUUCUCAUACUUGGUAGUGAAGCAUCGGUUAAAGCAAGCCUGGUUCCAGCUGGAGGCCUAGCAGAAACAAAACUGCCGGUGAUCCAAGAAAUAAGGAAAAUGUCAUGUCCUUUGUACACUUAAUGUUGGCAACAAAAAGGAUUUUUUAGUAGUUUCCUGCUUCAUCGAAUAAACAAAGUUAAGAUCAAGGCAGCUACUCAGAACGCCACACAGUGACCUCAGCAUGCUGUCAGAACACCUAGGGGUGUAUUCCUAGCCCAAAAGCUGCAUUUAAUGAAAAUAAGCAGGGCCUGUGAGAUUCUGCAGUCCUAAUCAAGGUGCUAGUCCUGUCCUCUAACAAGCUAUGCUGGACUACUUACAUAAAGAUGUUCAGGGUUUCUGUAGAAGCCUGCCCAUUUCAAAACUGCAGGUUUUCACUGCAUUGGUAUUGCAUGUUGACAAGGGCUUACUUUUAGCACACAUCUUCCCUGAUCG
Molecule: long non-coding RNA, 1856 nt
Filed under: Varanus komodoensis (Komodo dragon)
Lineage: Eukaryota; Metazoa; Chordata; Lepidosauria; Squamata; Varanidae
Description: lncRNA (ENSVKKG00000002628.1)
Source: RNAcentral